CCGAGAUUUUUUCCUGCUUGCAGGAAAUCUCCCACCCUUUGUGUUACCAAAUUUUAUACUUUGGUGAAGCGUUUUUCUUCACAGAGAACCAUCGGCUUUCGAGCGGGUGCGUCUUCGCCAAAGGACCCUUAACUCUUGUCUUUAUCAAUUGUCUGAGUUUAUAUUUUAAAAUAAACA
This 177-nucleotide unclassified non-coding RNA is filed under the name uncultured Ascomycota. Its description in RNAcentral is "sequence contains ITS1". Lineage: Eukaryota; Fungi; Ascomycota. The record is from RNAcentral.